GGAGAGAUGCCGGGCGGCUGAACGGACCGGUCUCGAAACCGUUGCGGGGGUAACUCCCGCCGAGGGGUUUCGAAUCCCUCUCUCUCCGCCA
Molecule: transfer RNA, 91 nt
Filed under: Salmonella enterica subsp. enterica
Lineage: Bacteria; Pseudomonadati; Pseudomonadota; Gammaproteobacteria; Enterobacterales; Enterobacteriaceae
Description: tRNA-OTHER
Source: RNAcentral